UAUAUACUCCAUCCGUCCGAAAUUACUUGUCGCAAAAAUGGAUAGAAAUGGAUGUAUCUCGAACUAAAAUACAUCUAGAUACAUCCAUUUCUCGGACAAGUAUUUCCAGACGGAGGGAGUAUUUU
Hordeum vulgare subsp. vulgare (domesticated barley) is the source of this 125-nucleotide non-coding RNA. Lineage: Eukaryota; Viridiplantae; Streptophyta; Magnoliopsida; Poales; Poaceae. The record is from Rfam.